RNAcentral lists this ribosomal RNA (118 nucleotides) under Escherichia coli. Lineage: Bacteria; Pseudomonadati; Pseudomonadota; Gammaproteobacteria; Enterobacterales; Enterobacteriaceae. The record is from RNAcentral.
CCUGGCGGCCGUAGCGCGGUGGUCCCACCUGACCCCAUGCCGAACUCAGAAGUGAAACGCCGUAGCGCCGAUGGUAGUGUAAAUUCCCCAUGCAAGAGUAGGGAGGGAACUGCCGGGC